Non-coding RNA from Bactrocera oleae (olive fruit fly), 510 nucleotides. The record is from RefSeq and is a predicted model, not a curated record. NCBI's taxonomy places the organism in Eukaryota, Metazoa, Arthropoda, Insecta, Diptera, Tephritidae.
AGAAAUAUUUCUUUCUGCUUACUUUUACAUAUUUAUUUUUUAUUAACAAGGAAAUAAACACUACAAAGUAAUUAAGUAGAAAACUACAAGUGUGUAUUUACUGCUAUAAGCGACAGUCGGUCUAGUUCAUUGCACAAACAAUGCUACAUAUGUGCCAGCUUGCUGUUGUUAUUGUUUUCGUUAUUAGGAAAGGAAAAUCGCACUUGAAAAGGGCGUUUCCACAUUGAGUGUCGUCCAUGUGUGUUAGCUGUAUAUGUAACUCUGCGAAAUGAGGUGUGAAAAAGGUGGCAAACAGUAGGCGUUUGCCGUCGCUGAUUGUAAUCAAUAAUAGCCUGCGUAUAUAUCUUAAGUAGGUGCGUGUAUGUGUAAAGGAAAUGGGGACUUGCCAAUUGUUGUGGUUUGUAGGUGAAGUAUCAGCUGCCUGGCUUGCAAAUGAGGUGUGAAAAUCGUACAAAAUAUAUAAAGAUUUGAAAUGAAAAGAAAAAAGUCGGCUGAAGAAAAUUAUUGAGG